This 78-nucleotide transfer RNA is filed under the name Sphingomonas sp. CFBP 13728. RNAcentral describes it as "tRNA-OTHER". Lineage: Bacteria; Pseudomonadati; Pseudomonadota; Alphaproteobacteria; Sphingomonadales; Sphingomonadaceae. The record is from RNAcentral.
GGACCGCGCUAAAAACAUUGGAUAAACUGCUGACCCUUAAUCAGCGGGUCCUUGGUUCGAGCCCAAGUGCGUCCACCA